Pan troglodytes (chimpanzee) is the source of this 463-nucleotide long non-coding RNA. RefSeq lists it as uncharacterized. Lineage: Eukaryota; Metazoa; Chordata; Mammalia; Primates; Hominidae. The transcript has 4 exons. The record is from RefSeq and is a predicted model, not a curated record.
CUGUAGCCAGCUACUCACAAGAGGGGCUGCACCACCCCGGGGCGUUUUCAGGAACAUUGGCUCACCCUCUAUCAGUGUCAGUGAUAAUGCUGGGAUAAAACACCACAGCAUGCUUUCAUGAAGCAAGCCGCCAUGUUGGAGCAGCCCUCCUGGAAAAGAGCUGAGGAUGGCCUCUGGCCAACAGCCAGUGAGAAACUGAAUUCUGCCAACAGCCAUGAGUGACAUAUGGAAUGAUCAUCAACUUGGAUGUUUGAGGAUUGGCGGCAUUAGCUCCACCACCGCAGAGUUCUGAAGGGGAGCACUGUCAUGCCUGAUGCAGGGGGACCAUGCUGGUUGGAGACGCUGAAAUGGAAGGCGAGGGGGAAAAGAAGAUCGUGCCCACAUCAAACCCUCCAGGUGAAAAAACAAAGCAAAUCUGAAACGCAUUUUGCUUUUGGAGUAACAAAAAAGUAAAUGGAGAUGG